GGGAGCUCAGUGCUAAGGCGUUUCUUUGGGUUUCAUGAAUCACUGAUCUAUUCAGCCGCUUGGACACAUACCUUCCGUUUCUUCUGGGUUCUGGGGCCCCUGUUAAAGUGUUAAAGGGUUGAGCCAUGCUAAACUGGACCACAUCCCUCUUAAUGGUUCUGGCUCGGCUCCUGAGUUCUCCUGCACUGGGGAAACCUCUGCCUACUGAGAAAGAAACUCCAGAUGUCUACCAGGCAGAAGAACACUCCAAUGUCACAUUGACAUGGCUCCUUCCUGUAAAUACCACGGCCAACUCGCUGUACAUGGAUCUGAUGACCCUGGAGCCACUGAGGAGUAUUUAUCUGUAUGACAGCAGAUUUAAAACUGAGCCGUACAUAAAUGAUCAGUUCAAAGAUCGACUACAGUGUAAUCGACAGCAGGUCAGGAAUGGACAAAUCCAAUGUUACCUAAAGGACCUCAGGCUCAACGAUACAGGAAGCUAUCAGUUGAUCGUUAGAGCUGAUGGAAAAGGUGCCCUGAGAAGAAAUCAACUGAUAGUAACAGCCUCUAAACCUCAGAUCUCAGGGGAUCUCCAAAGCCAAAAUAACAGGGACCGUUUGGAGUUGAUGUUAUUUUUUGUUUAUUUUUGGUAAUAAAGGAUUUAUUCUCCUAAA
This is a long non-coding RNA of Fundulus heteroclitus (mummichog), 653 nucleotides long. RefSeq lists it as uncharacterized. NCBI's taxonomy places the organism in Eukaryota, Metazoa, Chordata, Actinopteri, Cyprinodontiformes, Fundulidae. The record is from RefSeq and is a predicted model, not a curated record. The transcript has 4 exons.